CUACUUACCUGACAGGGAAGAUACCAUGAUCCUGAAGGUGGUUUCCCCAGGGUGAGGCUUAUCCAUUGCACUGACCCCUGUGCUGACUCUGUGCAGGAUGUGCUGACCCCUGUGAUUUCCUCAAAAGUGGGAAACUCGACUGUAUAAUUUGCGAUAGUGAGGGACUGCAUUUGUGCUCUCCCCUG
RNAcentral lists this small nuclear RNA (185 nucleotides) under Carlito syrichta (Philippine tarsier). RNAcentral describes it as "U1 spliceosomal RNA (ENSTSYG00000030404.1)". It matches the Rfam family "U1 spliceosomal RNA". Rfam says of the family: U1 is a small nuclear RNA (snRNA) component of the spliceosome (involved in pre-mRNA splicing). Its 5' end forms complementary base pairs with the 5' splice junction, thus defining the 5' donor site of an intron. There are significant differences in sequence and secondary structure between metazoan and yeast U1 snRNAs, the latter being much longer (568 nucleotides as compared to 164 nucleotides in human). The record is from Rfam by way of RNAcentral. Lineage: Eukaryota; Metazoa; Chordata; Mammalia; Primates; Tarsiidae.